This 162-nucleotide ribosomal RNA is filed under the name Sequoia sempervirens (coast redwood). Its description in RNAcentral is "5.8S ribosomal RNA". It matches the Rfam family "5.8S ribosomal RNA". Rfam says of the family: 5.8S ribosomal RNA (5.8S rRNA) is a component of the large subunit of the eukaryotic ribosome. The record is from RNAcentral. Lineage: Eukaryota; Viridiplantae; Streptophyta; Pinopsida; Cupressales; Cupressaceae.
GACUCUCGGCAACGGAUAUCUCGGCUCUCGCCACGAUGAAGAAUGUAGCGAAAUGCGAUACUUAGUGUGAAUUGCAGAAUCCCGUGAAUCAUCGAGUCUUUGAACGCAAGUUGCGCCCGAGGCCUCGGCCGAGGGCACGUCUGCUUGGGCGUAGCACUGCAA